CGUCUAACAUGUAUAUACAUCACUGCGGGGCUGACUGACAUCUGGAGGCAUGAAUCCACUGUGGAAAAAGAUCGGUUAAUACCCCCGUGCGUGUGACAGCGAGUACAGUAGUGGGUUCAGAGAAAGGGGAGUCUGAAAAACCCUUUCUCUCAAAUUUCUUGACCAAUACCUGAUCGCCCGGCUUAAAAGCAUGGGUUGAGACCUUGGGAGGGUCUGUGAUAGUUUGGUUGACCCUCUCCCAGUAUUCAUUCAGAACAGUUAACAACCCUGCGGUGUACUCGCUGCGACGCACAUCCAAGUCCGCCGUUCCCCCCAGAGCCGUUUUCUGACGCCAUGGGAGGGGGAACGGACGUCCCAUGACAAUUUCAUACGGCGACAGACCACCCAGAGUGUCUGUGCGCGCCAUCCGCAGUUUGGCCAAAACUACAGGUAAAACCUUCACCCAAUUAGUAGUGUUCUGCGUCUGCAUGGCCUUUCAUAACCGCCCUUUUAUAGUCCGAUUAACCCUUUCGACCAUACCCGAGGAUUGAGGGUGAUAGGGGAUGUGGAAAGCCCAGUCUAUGCUCAGGUGCUUCGCGAGCAUCUGUGUGACUUUGGAGGUGACCGGUGUGCCUUUGUCGGAAGAGCACACGUCUGCACU
Pygocentrus nattereri (red-bellied piranha) is the source of this 640-nucleotide long non-coding RNA. RefSeq lists it as uncharacterized. The transcript is spliced from 3 exons. Lineage: Eukaryota; Metazoa; Chordata; Actinopteri; Characiformes; Serrasalmidae. The record is from RefSeq and is a predicted model, not a curated record.